RNAcentral lists this ribosomal RNA (468 nucleotides) under uncultured bacterium. Its description in RNAcentral is "partial 16S ribosomal RNA". It matches the Rfam family "Bacterial small subunit ribosomal RNA", at positions 28 to 507 of the family's 1533-position model. The record is from RNAcentral.
GACGAACGCUGGCGGCGUGCUUAACACAUGCAAGUCGAACGGAAAGGCCCUGCUUUUGUGGGGUGCUCGAGUGGCGAACGGGUGAGUAACACGUGAGUAACCUGCCCUUGACUUUGGGAUAACUUCAGGAAACUGGGGCUAAUACCGGAUAGGAGCUCCUGCUGCAUGGUGGGGGUUGGAAAGUUUCGGCGGUUGGGGAUGGACUCGCGGCUUAUCAGCUUGUUGGUGGGGUAGUGGCUUACCAAGGCUUUGACGGGUAGCCGGCCUGAGAGGGUGACCGGCCACAUUGGGACUGAGAUACGGCCCAGACUCCUACGGGAGGCAGCAGGGGGGAAUAUUGUACAAUGGGCGGAAGCCUGAUGCAGCAACGCCGCGUGCGGGAUGACGGCCUUCGGGUUGUAAACCGCUUUCGCCUGUGACGAAGCGUGAGUGACGGUAAUGGGUAAAGAAGCACCGGCUAACUACGUG